This 446-nucleotide ribosomal RNA is filed under the name uncultured bacterium. RNAcentral's name for it is "partial 16S ribosomal RNA". It matches the Rfam family "Bacterial small subunit ribosomal RNA", at positions 338 to 795 of the family's 1533-position model. The record is from RNAcentral.
CCUACGGGAGGCAGCAGUCGAGAAUCAUUCACAAUGGGGGAAACCCUGAUGGUGCGACGCCGCGUGGGGGAAUGAAGGUCUUCGGAUUGUAAACCCCUGUCAUGUGGGAGCAAAUUAAAAAGAUAGUACCACAAGAGGAAGAGACGGCUAACUCUGUGCCAGUAGCCGCGGUAAUACAGAGGUCUCAAGCGUUGUUCGGAAUCACUGGGCGUAAAGCGUGCGUAGGCUGUUUCGUAAGUCGUGUGUGAAAGGCGCGGGCUCAACCCGCGGACGGCACAUGAUACUGCGAGACUAGAGUAAGGGAGGGGGAACCGGAAUUCUCGGGGUAGCAGUGAAAUGCGUAGAUAUCGAGAGGAACACUCGUGGCGAAGGCGGGUUCCUGGACAUUAACUGACGCUGAGGCACGAAGGCCAGGGGAGCGAAAGGGAUUAGAUACCCGGGUAGUC